Molecule: long non-coding RNA, 572 nt
Filed under: Vitis vinifera (wine grape)
Lineage: Eukaryota; Viridiplantae; Streptophyta; Magnoliopsida; Vitales; Vitaceae
Description: long non-coding RNA (VVIN_LNC004515)
Source: RNAcentral
AAGAAGUACCAGCAUUCUUUAUCAGUACCAUUGCAAAGUCAAACCACAAGGAAAAGAUAGAAGUUGAAUGGAAUUCCAACUAAACCUGACGGAUCUGACUGGAUUGGGCAUAUGAAGUUUUCUUGUUCUGGUUUUGACGCUUCUUUGUGAAUGCAAUGCAGAACAUCCUCAGGGUGUAGUUAUCUGUUGUCUUAACAUCCACAUGAGCCUCAAUCAAUGUCUGCCACUUGCGCACCAAAGACCUCAGCUUGUCUGUUGUAAAGUCCAUUCCCUGAAAUUAUUAAAAAAAAUGAGAAACCCCAAUUUUCCUCUUUUGCAUGUAAUUAAAAAAAAAAAGGCUAACUGUCAUGCUAUGCCCACCCAGAAGUUUGUGAGGACAUUCUUUCCUUGCACAUCCUCAGCUCUCAGUCGGAUCUUCCUGUAGGCAUGAUCCUCAUCGUUCUGAAGAUCAGCCAGGGAAAUCUCAAACACUCUGUGCUUGAGCCCUUCAGAGGCAAUCUGUCACAUAAUUCACAUAACAUAUUCAGUAAACAUAUGUAAUAAAAGGCAUGUAAACGUUUUUCUUUUAGAAU